GACGAACGCUGGCGGCGUGCUUAACACAUGCAAGUCGAACGGAAAGGCCCUGCUUUUGUGGGGUUCUCGAGUGGCGAACGGGUGAGUAACACGUGAGUAACCUGCCCUUGACUUUGGGAUAACUUCAGGAAACUGGGGCUAAUACCGGAUAGGAGCUCCUGCUGCAUGGUGGGGGUUGGAACGUUUCGGCGGUUGGGGAUGGACUCGCGGCUUAUCAGCUUGUUGGUGGGGUAGUGGCUUACCAAGGCUUUGACGGGUAGCCGGCCUGAGAGGGUGAACGGCGACAUUGGGACUGAGAGACGGCACAGACUCCUACGGGAGGCAGCAGUGGGGAAUAUUGCACAAUGGGCGGAAGCGUGAUGCAGCAACGCCGCGUGCGGGAUGACGGCCUUCGGGUUGUAAACCGCUUUCGCCUGUGACGAAGCGUGAGUGACGGUAAUGGGUAAAGAAGCACCGGCUAACUACGUG
This 468-nucleotide ribosomal RNA is filed under the name uncultured bacterium. RNAcentral describes it as "partial 16S ribosomal RNA". It matches the Rfam family "Bacterial small subunit ribosomal RNA", at positions 28 to 507 of the family's 1533-position model. The record is from RNAcentral.